UACGGAGGGUGCAAGCAUUAAUCGGAAUUAUUGGGCGUAAAGGGCGCGUAGGCGGAUUUGUAAGUCAGAUGUGAAAUUCCGAGGCUCAACCUCGGAGCUGCAUUUGAAACUAUAAAUCUGGAGGAUUGGCGGAGAAAACGGAAUUCCACAAGUAGCGGUGAAAUGCGUAGAUAUGUGGAAGAACACCGGUGGCGAAGGCGGUUUUCUAGCUUAUUCCUGACGCUGAGGCGCGAAAGCAAGGGGAGCAAACAGG
RNAcentral lists this ribosomal RNA (253 nucleotides) under uncultured bacterium. RNAcentral describes it as "partial 16S ribosomal RNA". It matches the Rfam family "Bacterial small subunit ribosomal RNA", at positions 524 to 776 of the family's 1533-position model. The record is from RNAcentral.